RNAcentral lists this long non-coding RNA (696 nucleotides) under Manihot esculenta (cassava). Its description in RNAcentral is "long non-coding RNA (MESC_LNC010777)". The record is from RNAcentral. Lineage: Eukaryota; Viridiplantae; Streptophyta; Magnoliopsida; Malpighiales; Euphorbiaceae.
GAAGAGGGAGGUCCGUGUCAAGGCACGGUUCGUGAGUUGGUGAAGGGAAAGCUAGUGGUCGAAAUGGCUAUGUCGGGGGAUGGGUUAAUUCCGAUAAUAAUUCAAGGAGGCGACGCUCUGUAUCUGUUGUCCGAUAUCAAAUUAGUGAUUCUGAGGUGAAAUUCUUUUCUCCUUUUUAUUCUGUGAUUUUUAACGCAUCACAGCUUUGCUAUGGUGUUGAAGAUCUGAGUUUUGCAUGUUUCGCUUUAUAACUUGUGGGUACUUUUUGUUCUUAACGUUAUAAUGGUGUUUGAAUCGGGUUGGAUCAGGUAGAGGGUUUGAUGUGAACAGAUUAUCAGCGGAGGAGGCGGAAGGAGUAGCAAUGUCAUUGCCAAACAGUGUUGUGUCGUCAUUUUAGAUGGAUUUUGGGAUUAGAAACAGAAGCUAUAAAAGAGAUAUGGAAGCCAUUGAUGUCGAGAGAGUGUGGAAAGUAUUAGAGAAGCUGUGGUGGACGAAGCAGAGGAGCUCCGAUUGGAAGAAGAUGAGUCAUCAGUGGACGAAGCAGAGGAUUUCGCAAUGGGAGUUCGCUUGGUAGUGGACCUGCAAGUUAUAAAGCGAGUGAGGUCAGGAGUAGAAAGGUUGUAUUUUAGUAGUGGACCUGCAAGUGGCCAUUUGGGAGGAAGCAGGUGAGGUCAGGAGUAGAAGAAACUGUUAUGG